CCCCUAGUANCGGCGAGUGAAGAGGGAAGAGCUCAAAUUUUGAAUCUGGCGUCUUUGGCGUCCGAAUUGUAAUCUAGAGAAGUGUUUUCCGUGACGGACCGUGCACAAGUCUCCUGGAAUGGAGCGUCAUAGAGGGUGAGAAUCCCGUAUAUGGCAUGNNCUNCCGUUGCUCUGUGAUACACUCUCGACGAGUCGAGUUGUUUGGGAAUGCAGCUCUAAAUGGGUGGUAAAUCCCAUCUAAAGCUAAAUAUUGGCGAGAGACCGAUAGCGAACAAGUNCCGUGAGGGAAAGAUGAAAAGCACUUUGGAAAGAGAGUGAAACAGUACGUGAAAUUGUUGAAAGGGAAACGCUUGAAGUCAGUCGCNCCGUUCGGGAUUCANCCUUGCUUCUGCUCGGUUUACUUCCUGUUGGGUGGGUCAACAUCAGUUUUGGUCGGAGGAGAAAGGCUUGGGGAANGUGGCAGCAUUCGUGCUGUGUUAUAGCCCCUUGUUGUAUACUUCGNCUGGGACUGAGGACCGCAGCACGCCUUUGGCC
Molecule: ribosomal RNA, 534 nt
Filed under: uncultured Sebacinales
Lineage: Eukaryota; Fungi; Basidiomycota; Agaricomycetes; Sebacinales
Description: eukaryotic LSU rRNA
Rfam family: Eukaryotic large subunit ribosomal RNA
Source: RNAcentral